RNAcentral lists this ribosomal RNA (119 nucleotides) under Electrona antarctica. RNAcentral describes it as "partial 28S ribosomal RNA". Lineage: Eukaryota; Metazoa; Chordata; Actinopteri; Myctophiformes; Myctophidae. The record is from RNAcentral.
GGUGGGAUCCCGGACGCUCUNGGCGCACCACCGGCCCGCCUCGCCCGCAGCGUCGGGGAGGUGGAGCAUGAGCGUGCGCGAUAGGAUCCGAAAGAUGCUGAACUAUGCCAGGGCAGGGC